GGCUGUGUGGUCUAGUGGUAUAAUUCUCGCUUGGGGUGCGAGAGGUCCCGAGUUCAAUUUUCGGCACAGCCC
RNAcentral lists this transfer RNA (72 nucleotides) under Perkinsus olseni. RNAcentral's name for it is "tRNA-Pro". It matches the Rfam family "tRNA". From Rfam's summary of the family: Transfer RNA (tRNA) molecules are approximately 80 nucleotides in length. The record is from RNAcentral. Lineage: Eukaryota; Perkinsozoa; Perkinsida; Perkinsidae.